CGGCGUGGAUGAGGCAUGCAAGUCGAACGGACUUGAGUGCAAACUUGAGUUAGUGGCGGAAGGGUUAGUAAUGCACAGGUAACGUACCGUGACCCUGGGGAUAACAUUCAGAAAUGGGUGCUAAUACCGAAUGUCGUCAACUUUCGGCAUCGAGAGUUGAUGAAAGCGGGGGAUUCCGAGAGGAACCUUGCGGGAUACGAGCGGCCUGUGUGGCAUCAGCUUGUUGGUAGGGUAAUGGCCUACCAAGGCUGAGACGCCUAGGCGGACUGGGAGGUCGAUCGCCAACACUGGGACUGAGAACUGCCCAGACUCCUACGGGAGGCUGCAGUCGAGAAUCUUUCGCAAUGGGCGCAAGCCUGACGAAGCGACGCCGUGUGUGUGAUGAAGGUUUUAGGAUCGUAAAGCACUUUCGCCUGUGAGCAAGGAUUUCCUUCUAAUAAAGGGAAGUUUUGAGAGUAGCAGGUAAAGAAGCGCCGGCCAACUACGUGCCAGCAGCUGCGGUAAUACGUAGGGCGCAAGCAUUAAUCGGAUUUAUUGGGUGUAAAGGGUGCGUAGGCUGCUGGGUAAGUUGGAUGUGAAAUUCCGGAGUUCAUCUUCGGACUGCAUACAAAACUGCUCAGCUAGAGUAUAAGAGGGGAAAGCGGAAUUCCACAAGUAGCGGUGAAAUGCGUAGAUAUGUGGAGGAACACCGGUGGCGAAGGCGGCUUUCUGGAUUAUUACUGACGCUGAGGCACGAAAGCAUGGGGAGCAAACAGGAUUAGAUACCCUGGUAGUCCAUGCCGUAAACGAUGCACACUUGAUGUAGUCGGUCUCAACCCCGGCUGUGUCGAAGCUAACGCGAUAAGUGUGCCACCUGGGGAGUACGCUCGCAAGGGUGAAACUCAAAAGAAUUGACGGGGACCCGCACAAGCAGUGGAGCAUGUGGUUUAAUUCGAUGCAACGCGAAGAACCUUACCUGGGCUUGACAUGCAGAGGACUGGGGCAGAAAUGCUCAGUUUCGAAAGGACCUCUGUACAGGUGCUGCAUGGCUGUCGUCAGCUCGUGCCGUGAGGUGUUGGGUUAAGUCCCGCAACGAGCGCAACCCUUAUU
Molecule: ribosomal RNA, 1089 nt
Filed under: uncultured bacterium
Lineage: Bacteria
Description: bacterial SSU rRNA
Rfam family: Bacterial small subunit ribosomal RNA
Source: RNAcentral